Molecule: ribosomal RNA, 453 nt
Filed under: uncultured bacterium
Lineage: Bacteria
Description: bacterial SSU rRNA
Rfam family: Bacterial small subunit ribosomal RNA
Source: RNAcentral
UACGGGAGGCAGCAGUGGGGAAUAUUGCACAAUAGGCGCAAGCCUGAUGCAGCCAUGCCGCGUGUAUGAAGAAGGCCUUCGGGUUGUAAAGUACUUUCAGUCGUGAGGAAGGUGUUAAGGUUAAUAACCUUAGCAAUUGACGUUAGCGACAGAAGAAGCACCGGCUAACUCCGUGCCAGCAGCCGCGGUAAUACGGAGGGUGCGAGCGUUAAUCGGAAUUACUGGGCGUAAAGGGCACGCAGGCGGUUAAUUAAGUUGGAUGUGAAAUCCCCGGGCUUAACCUGGGAAUGGCAUUCAAGACUGGUUAGCUAGAGUCUUGUAGAGGGGGUAGAAUUCCAUGUGUAGCGGUGAAAUGCGUAGAGAUGUGGAGGAAUACCGGUGGCGAAGGCGGCCCCUGGGACAAAGACUGACGCUCAUGUGCGAAAGCGUGGGGAGCAAACAGGAUUAGAUACC